RNAcentral lists this ribosomal RNA (445 nucleotides) under uncultured bacterium. Its description in RNAcentral is "partial 16S ribosomal RNA". It matches the Rfam family "Bacterial small subunit ribosomal RNA", at positions 330 to 792 of the family's 1533-position model. The record is from RNAcentral.
GCCAGACUCCUACGGGAGGCAGCAGUGGGGAAUAUUGCACAAUGGGGGAAACCCUGAUGCAGCGACGCCGCGUGAGUGAAGAAGUAUUUCGGUAUGUAAAGCUCUGUCAGCAGGAAAGAAAAUGACGGUACCUGACUAAGAAGCCCCGGCUAACUACGCGCCAGCAGCCGCGGUAAUACGUAGGGGGCAAGCGUUAUCCGGAAUUAUUGGGUGUAAAGGGUGCGUAGACGGGAUAACAAGUUGGUUGUGAAACCCCUCGGCUCAACUGAGGAACUGCAACCAAAACUAUUAUUCUUGAGUGCAGGAGAGGAAAGUGGAAUUCCUAGUGUAGCGGUGAAAUGCGUAGAUAUUAGGAAGAACACCGGUGGCGAAGGCGACUUUCUGGGCUGUAACUGACGUUGAGGCACGAAAGUGUGGGGAGCAAACAGGAUUAGAUACCCCAGUA